GUGACUCAAGACUAUGUACUUGAAUGAAUAUGUGUGUGUGUGUGUGUGUGUGUGUGUGCUUGCAAGGUGGUUGUUCUUUUCCCUCUGUUUCCUGUCUCACUGCUCGUCUUUGAGCUUCAGAUUAUACCAUUUCCUCUCACACCUGUGACUGUGUCACGUCCUGAUCCUUCCACCCCUGCCCGUAUUUAUCUAUUCUUUUUAUUUCUCUCUCCCGCUCUCUCUCCCUCAAUGUAGGCUGUGUCCUCAGUCUUUCUCAGCCUGGGGUCUAGCUUACCUGUGUCAACAUGGUGACGGCGCCAGGUGUACUGACGACCCUUGUGUUAACAGGAUUGUGUGUCCACGUCACAGGAUCAUCUAGAGCCGUCUGUACCACCCGUCUGUAUUCCCUGAACUUAAACUGUGUCCUGCAGUGGGAUUGUCCACAGGCGAACGCUACCACCACCUACACCGUCCAAACUAAGACUCAGGGUGAUUCGUGGCAGGACGUGGAGAGUUGUGUGCGGUUCUCCUCCCAGCUGUGUGACCUGUCCGAGGCCUUCUCUAACUUCGAGGUGUACAACAUGAUCCGCCUGGGCCUCCACCAGGGCCCGGGGAGUCCAGCCUGGACAGAAAAUCUGGGGUUUGGCGUCCGUGAUUUCAGUCAGUAGCCUGUCUCUCCUCUAAGACCUGUCACGUAUCUUGCCAUGGCGAUUUAUUGUUCAAAUUCACAUCAAAAAAGAAGAGCAUUUAACCGUCUUAAUACACUGCAGAGUUCAAAUAGAGAGGGCUAAAAUGGCUAAAAGCACUCGCAUGAAGAGAUUGUUGUGAUUUUGAAGUGAAAGUGGCUUUGUUUCUCCUCUUCAGACUUCAGCAGCCCCUCUGUCUUGGUCUCUCUGUCUGGAGAGAUGCUGGGAGUGGAGGUGCACUUACCUUGUUCUAGCAAAAGGGAGUGUCUUCCUCUGCAGAGUUGCUGUCCACUGUCAAAAUUUAUUGACCUCUGGGUCACCGUGACAGUAUAUGACCGGCAGAACCCCUCCGACUACAAGGCAUCUCUUCAGGCAUUCCUCCAGGACCUACCGGAGUCCCCUUCAGACCCUGUUGACCCCAGUGACAUUGUAGACGACCACCUCUCCAUCCUGUCCUCUUUCUCCAGCUGUGUCUACACCGAGGCCCAGGCCCCAAGCCUGGGUAAUGGGUACAACAGCAACCCCUUCCUCCGUGACUAUAGGUCAGGCAACAUGCACUGGAACACUGAGAGAAUGGAGCUGGACCUGAACUCAGGCAGCACCAUAUCCCUGCCAUGCUCCACUGUGCCUAUAGGCCUGCAUAUGAUCCAGUGCAGCUUUGAUUCACCUCGACAACCACAUCCAGGGCCCAAUGUGCCAGUUCUACCGUACCCUGGUUCUCUAUCUCUGUCAGAGGCCGUGGAGGGCCAGGUGGUCCCGUUGUGUUCUGUGAGGUUUGGGAGGGUGAGUGAUGGGUGUGAGAACCUUGAGGGACUACAGUGGUGUAACCUGUAGCAUGUUGCACUGCAGUACUCACAAUGCCAUGUUUAACAUAUUCCUAUGAACUCCACAGUGCUGAGAGGAGUUCAAAAACUUUAUUGACCAUUUUUGUUGAAAAUUGUAAUUUUUUUCCCUCAGCUUACAGACAUACAUUUUCAGUUCCAACAGGACUGUGGUAUGGUCCAGCACCUUACCAAGGUCAACCAUAACAGGGACAAUACUGGACAGUGCAAUCAUAAACACAUACACUCUUAGAAAAAAGGGUUUCAAAAGGGUUCUUCGGCUGUCCCCAUAGGAGAACCCUUUUCGGAACCAAAACUAUUCUUCCUGGAACCAAAAAGGGUUCUUCAAUGGGUUAUCCUAUGGGGACAGCCGACAAGGUUCUAGAUGGCACCUUUUUUUUUCUAAGGGGGGUUUAUUAUUCUGACUCCCCUUUAAAUUUACUUUGUCUACUGUGCCAAGUGUCUUUUCAGCUCUUUUUCUGUGUCAUAAUAGGUUGUUCUUCCCCCUCUCUCUGCCUUGCUUCUGACUCACUGUUGCCCCAUCCCAUCUCCGGCCUGACCCCCACUGUCUCUUACCCGUGUCUGACAUCUCAUUCUGGGGGAGGAGGGCAGAGGGUAGGGGAACAUCUCUCUCCUGCCUCUUGUUUCACUGGUGGUGCACUUUCCCCGGAACAUUAGAACAUUCGGGGGUAGAGACAGAGGAGACGUUGGAUGGGAAACAGUGAUUGGCCCUAUUGUUCUGGAAACCACAUAGCCUGUGUAUGGCUCAUAAUAAUAUCACUGUCUGGAGGAUUUUGAUUCAUGUAUUCAUGUUGUUGGUCUAAUAUUGGGGUUGGAUCAUGAGUCCAAACUAAGCAGUGUGUUUGCUUGCCAAUCAUAAAUGCUAAUUCUCAGGCAUCCAACAGGUAUCGCAUCUAACCUUGCACUUGGGUUUUUGGAGCAACUUUUAUGGGUUCUGCUGUAUUUGCAGUCAAUUCACCGGAAACCUGAUCCAAAAUGGUCGCUUUGUGGCUCACUCUUCACUGGUGUGUGCUGGCUAGCUCUGCAGCUGAGGUGGUGAAGUUGGAUUGGGGAUUUACGUGGUGUUUGACAGGCAGUAAAAAAUGUUGGGGGGGGCUUGCCUGUUAUGCAUGUUAUUUUGGCAUUAAAUGUCACAUCAGUUUGCAAACAAUGCAAUAAAAAUAAAUCAAUGAGUUAAUAAAGCCGC
This is a long non-coding RNA of Oncorhynchus tshawytscha (Chinook salmon), 2693 nucleotides long. Lineage: Eukaryota; Metazoa; Chordata; Actinopteri; Salmoniformes; Salmonidae. The record is from Ensembl.